Molecule: transfer RNA, 71 nt
Organism: Sus scrofa (pig)
Lineage: Eukaryota; Metazoa; Chordata; Mammalia; Artiodactyla; Suidae
Rfam family: tRNA
About the family: Transfer RNA (tRNA) molecules are approximately 80 nucleotides in length. Their secondary structure includes four short double-helical elements and three loops (D, anti-codon, and T loops). Further hydrogen bonds mediate the characteristic L-shaped molecular structure. tRNAs have two regions of fundamental functional importance: the anti-codon, which is responsible for specific mRNA codon recognition, and the 3' end, to which the tRNAs corresponding amino acid is attached (by aminoacyl-tRNA synthetases). tRNAs cope with the degeneracy of the genetic code in two manners: having more than one tRNA (with a specific anti-codon) for a particular amino acid; and 'wobble' base-pairing, i.e. permitting non-standard base-pairing at the 3rd anti-codon position.
Source: Rfam
CUCUAGCUGGUUCAGUGGCUAGGAUUCCUGGUUUUCUUCCAGGCUGCACAGGUUCAAUUCCUGAGCAGAGA